RNAcentral lists this ribosomal RNA (492 nucleotides) under uncultured bacterium. Its description in RNAcentral is "partial 16S ribosomal RNA". It matches the Rfam family "Bacterial small subunit ribosomal RNA", at positions 29 to 507 of the family's 1533-position model. The record is from RNAcentral.
AGUGAACGCUGGCGGUAGGCCUAACACAUGCAAGCCGAACGGCAGCACAGUAAGAGCUUGCUCUUACGGGUGGCGAGUGGCGGACGGGUGAGGAAUACAUCGGAAUCUACUUUUUCGUGGGGGAUAACGUAGGGAAACUUACGCUAAUACCUCAUACGACCUACGGGUGAAAGCAGGGGAUCUUCGGACCUUGCGCGAUUGAAUGAGCCGAUGUCGGAUUAGCUAGUUGGCGGGGUAAAGGCCCACCAAGGCGACGAUCCGUAGCUGGUCUGAGAGGAUGAUCAGCCACACUGGAACUGAGACACGGUCCAGACUCCUACGGGAGGCAGCAGUGGGGAAUAUUGGACAAUGGGCGCAAGCCUGAUCCAGCCAUACCGCGUGGGUGAAGAAGGCCUUCGGGUUGUAAAGCCCUUUUGUUGGGAAAGAAAAGCAGCAGGUUAAUACCCCGCUGUUCUGACGGUACCCAAAGAAUAAGCACCGGCUAACUUCGUG